RNAcentral lists this long non-coding RNA (233 nucleotides) under Volvox carteri. RNAcentral describes it as "long non-coding RNA (VCAR_LNC000945)". Lineage: Eukaryota; Viridiplantae; Chlorophyta; Chlorophyceae; Chlamydomonadales; Volvocaceae. The record is from RNAcentral.
GCGCUUUUGCCAGCAGAGCAGGAUUGUCAGAGGAUAUAUACAGCAUUUUGUAAGGUCCAUCCUUAGUGCUUUACCUCCAGGCUUGACAGGGAUCCGUCCCCAGCCCGUCCUCGCCUACUACGAUCGCGAUCGCGCUCUCCAAGUGAACUAAGCCGGACUUCGCCAGCUGAACCAAGCAGGAGCUUUUAAGGAAUGCUCUAAUUUUAUAACUAAUCCCCACAGCCAAACGACCG